AUUCCAUGAUGAGGGCACUUUUGUAAUAACUCUUUGUACCUUUCCCAUGCCUCAUACAGGGACUAAUUAUCCAUUUCUCUAGAAGGCAGUGAUCUCAGUCCUCAACUU
Molecule: small nucleolar RNA, 108 nt
Organism: Gossypium raimondii (Peruvian cotton)
Lineage: Eukaryota; Viridiplantae; Streptophyta; Magnoliopsida; Malvales; Malvaceae
Rfam family: Plant small nucleolar RNA R71
About the family: R71 is a member of the C/D box family of snoRNAs containing the C (UGAUGA) and D (CUGA) box motifs. Multiple nearly identical copies of this snoRNA have been identified in Arabidopsis, and it is thought to function as a 2'-O-ribose methylation guide for 18S ribosomal RNA.
Source: Rfam